This 253-nucleotide ribosomal RNA is filed under the name uncultured bacterium. RNAcentral's name for it is "partial 16S ribosomal RNA". It matches the Rfam family "Bacterial small subunit ribosomal RNA", at positions 524 to 776 of the family's 1533-position model. The record is from RNAcentral.
UACAGAGGGUGCAAGCGUUAAUCGGAUUUACUGGGCGUAAAGGGCUCGUAGGCGGCCAACUAAGUCAUACGUGAAAUCCCUCGGCUUAACCGGGGAACUGCGUCUGAUACUGGAUGGCUUGAGAUUGGGAGAGGGAUGCGGAAUUCCAGGUGUAGCGGUGAAAUGCGUAGAUAUCUGGAGGAACACCGGUGGCGAAGGCGGCAUCCUGGACCAACACUGACGCUGAGGAGCGAAAGCCAGGGGAGCAAACGGG